Molecule: long non-coding RNA, 1595 nt
Organism: Humulus lupulus (European hop)
Lineage: Eukaryota; Viridiplantae; Streptophyta; Magnoliopsida; Rosales; Cannabaceae
Exons: 3
Source: RefSeq, a predicted model, not a curated record
UUUUGCAGAUCCUGAGAGAUUUAGAUUUACAAGAGACACAUCAUUUGGAAGAAGGCAUUUGAACUUUUGGAGCCAGCCACCAUUUUCACUUUGGAUUGUAUGUUUUACAGACAAUUCUUUGGGUCAGUCACUAAGGUUGAUUACAUGACACUGAGGCAUGGAUUUGUCAUGAUAUGCUACCCAAUCAUGGCCUGAAAGUUGCUUUAAAUUGCACAAAAUUGAUCACUGGACCUGAUGAAUACUGCCUAUGCUUUUCCCAUUUCAGGCACAUUUGGCUCCAGAAAGUGAAACAAGAUUUGAUUUUCAUAAAUACAUUAGCAGAACACUUGAAGAGGAUUUUGUAGUUGUUGGGAUAACAUUAGUGUUUCAGCCUUUAAACUCAUCAGCUUAUAUAUACAUAUAUAUAUUUAUAUAUGUGAGGAUAACACUUGAACUGUGCUUUAUAUAUAUAUUCAGCCCACUCAUUUGGUUCGUUGCAGUAUUGUUUCUACUGUCUAACACAUAUGGUAAGUUAGACACUUUGUUCUAUUAUUAUUAAAACUUUUAAUACACUCUUAGUUAGCAUUUCACUGACUGCGAAAUGUUAUUCUUUUUAACAGGAAUUUACUCUUAUCUAUGGCUGUCAUUUCUACCUUUGAUUGUACGUACAUCACAAUGCACAAACAAUAGAGACUAUGCUUACUGAUUUCCUUAAUUUAUUACUUGUUUAAAACCCAAGUUAUGGUCAUCGAUUGGUAUUUUCGUGGACUUACUAGUUUGUGUAUCUGCUUCUCUAGAUUUGUUGAAGGCAUGGAUCUAGUGUAUUUUAGAUCUACUUGGCAAUAAGCUUGGCAUCUUAUACAGGAUGGUUCAUCUAAUAACUUCUAGCACUAGGCGACAUGUUUUUGUGUAAGUUGUUUUUAUUAAACUGAAUGAUCAUUUGGAGUUUGUACCAGCACUAUAGUUUCGUAUUUUGUUAAUGAAUCAACAUCCACAUGCAUAGCUUUUUCCAUUUGUAGCUUCUUGAUUCUUCAUAGCUUCUUCAUAAGGUUUGAGUUAUUUUCUUGCAAUACACAUGGCUGACAUAAAGCAUAAAUAAGGAUUUCAGUACUUUUAGUUUGAUAUACUUUUCUUUGAAUUUGUAAAACUUUAUGCAAUCUAUUACUUGGUUAGAAAGAUUCUAGAUGUGAGGCAUUUGAUGCACUUAUUUCUGGUUAACAGAUUUCUCUUCACCUAUUACUUAUUUUCUUUUGUUUUAGUUGUCAUUUUUUUAAUCAAAUGUUGAGCUAUUGACAGAGAUAAUUUUUUAUUGUUACCACACUUUGCUUUGAACAUAUUAUUUAUUGUUAAUGGCUUCAUGCCAAGUGUGAUUACAUCUAUGGACCCAUGGAGAAUUUGUUAGAUGCUUUAGGACCCAUCGAAUGGAUGUUUCAGGAACUAAAGAGAGAGCACAGCAGCGGCUGCACUCAAGUCACUUCAACAUAAACUUGAGAAAUACAAGAUAGAGUUGAAUAAUUCGAAUAAGAAUACUCAUAACUUGUUCAUGUUGUACUUAACUGAUUACUUAUAAAUUGAGAUUAUAUUUGUACCAAUUUGAUGAAAUAUAUUUUGAUUAA